RNAcentral lists this ribosomal RNA (440 nucleotides) under uncultured bacterium. RNAcentral describes it as "partial 16S ribosomal RNA". It matches the Rfam family "Bacterial small subunit ribosomal RNA", at positions 338 to 795 of the family's 1533-position model. The record is from RNAcentral.
CCUACGGGAGGCAGCAGUAGGGAAUAUUGCUCAAUGGGGGAAACCCUGAAGCAGCAACGCCGCGUGGAGGAUGAAGGUUUUCGGAUUGUAAACUCUUUUUGUUAGAGAAGAUAAUGACGGUAUCUAACGAAUAAGCACCGGCUAACUCCGUGCCAGCAGCCGCGGUAAUACGGAGGGUGCAAGCGUUACUCGGAAUCACUGGGCGUAAAGAGCGCGUAGGCGGGAUAGCAAGUCAGAUGUGAAAUCCUAUGGCUUAACCAUAGAAUUGCAUUUGAAACUGUUAUUCUAGAGUAUGGGAGAGGUAGGUGGAAUUCGUGGUGUAGGGGUAAAAUGCGUAGAGAUCAAGAAGAAUACUCAUUGCGAAGGCGACCUGCUAGAACAUAACUGACGCUGAUGCGCGAAAGCGUGGGGAGCAAACAGGAUUAGAUACCCGAGUAGUC